GCGUGGGUGAAGAAGGUCUUCGGAUCGUAAAGCCCUUUCGGCGGGGACGAUGAUGACGGUACCCGCAGAAGAAGCCCCGGCUAACUUCGUGCCAGCAGCCGCGGUAAUACGAAGGGGGCUAGCGUUACUCGGAAUUACUGGGCGUAAAGGGCGCGUAGGCGGCUUGCUUAGUCAGACGUGAAAUUCCUGGGCUCAACCUGGGGGCUGCGUUUGAGACGGGCGGGCUUGAGGAUGGAAGAGGCUCGUGGAAUUCCCAGUGUAGAGGUGAAAUUCGU
Molecule: ribosomal RNA, 275 nt
Filed under: uncultured bacterium
Lineage: Bacteria
Description: partial 16S ribosomal RNA
Rfam family: Bacterial small subunit ribosomal RNA
Source: RNAcentral